AUGCACGCUGGCGGCGUGCCUAAUACCUGCCAGUCGCGCGAACAGACGAGGAGCUUGCUCCUCUGACGUUAGCGGCGGACGGGUGAGUAACACGUGGAUAACCUACCUAUAAGCCUGGGAUAACUUCGGGAAACCGGAGCUAAUACCGGAUAAUAUAUUGAACCGCAUGGUUCAAUAGUGAAAGACGGUUUUGCUGUCACUUAUAGAUGGAUCCGCGCCGCAUUAGCUAGUUGGUAAGGUAACGGCUUACCAAGGCAACGAUGCGUAGCCGACCUGAGAGGGUGAUCGGCCACACUGGAACUGAGACACGGUCCAGACUCCUACGGGAGGCAGCAGUAGGGAAUCUUCCGCAAAGGGCGAAAGCCUGACGGAGCAACGCCGCGUGAGUGAUGAAGGUCUUCGGAUCGUAAAACUCUGUUAUUAGGGAAGAACAAAUGUGUAAGUAACUAUGCACGUCUUGACGGUACCUAAUCAGAAAGCCACGGCUAACUACGUG
Molecule: ribosomal RNA, 496 nt
Filed under: uncultured bacterium
Lineage: Bacteria
Description: partial 16S ribosomal RNA
Rfam family: Bacterial small subunit ribosomal RNA
Source: RNAcentral